RNAcentral lists this long non-coding RNA (407 nucleotides) under Cricetulus griseus (Chinese hamster). RNAcentral describes it as "lncRNA (ENSCGRG00015036693.1)". The record is from RNAcentral. Lineage: Eukaryota; Metazoa; Chordata; Mammalia; Rodentia; Cricetidae.
CUGCUGCUGCUGCUGCCACCGCUGCCGCCGCCGCCGCCGCCACUACUGCUGCCAGCAGAGCUGUUGGGAGUGAGCCUCUCUUCUCCCAGAUAACCAGCUCCGUGGCAUCUCCCGCUCCUUGGCCCUACGCGGACCUCCCCGCCCCAGGGAACAAAAGCAGAGUCCAGCCGCCCUGUUCUGCAGCCAGAGGAUGAUGAGUCGAGUGGGCUGAGCGGAGAGUGUGGUCCUCAGCGGUUGGAAGGUAUAAAGAGAGGAGUAAAUGGGCAUCUAACAACAGCAGGACACCCUGCGGUGGCUCAUUGCACCCAUCCUACAGCCGCUCCCUGCCUUUUCUCCAUGAUUCCUGACUUCUGGCCCUGGCAAUCUCAGAAGAGCUUCAUUGAAUUCCCUUCCACUCAGAUCCUGGG